CUUUCAACAACAAAAUGUCUAGCCUUUGUUAUUGAUUAAAAUGAGCUCGCUUCUUUUCAAGAUACGGAGAAAACCCACGUGAUGAGUGGUCUAUCACAGAACUGAUACUGAAAGCAGAAGAGGGGUUGUUUUUUCUCCAGAGUAACUUGCAGGUGAUACAAUUGACUGUGGUAUGUAUGCUCAUUCCAGUAUUGGCAAUCGUUUCUUGGCUUUAUGGGUGUUUGCAAUUCUCCUGAAAAGCCUGUUUGACAGGAGGCAAGAGAACAUGGUGCAUGUUUGUGUAUCACAGGGCGUGAAGUCUCAUUUUGGACACCUAAAAGCUACUGCAUGCCUCCGGCCCAGAGAACAUGUUUUUAAAAUGUCUGAUCCCUGUCACAAACAGAAUUUCAUUUUGUGGCACCAAACGUCUGCUGUGGUUCUAAUGGACUCCCCUACCUCAACCUGCUUGCCAAGUGCCCUUCCCCGCACCUGAACAAAUCCCCUUCUUUCACUACUCACCAACCCCUUCACUUAUCCCCUCAUAGCUCACCCCAAAUCCCCCAUUUUAAGGGAGCAGGGAGGUGCUCCUCAGAGCAGCUUGCUAAAUUGCUCUGUGAAGUGCCUCUCCCCUCUGUUAAACCUUGCUGCAGCUGCAUUUAACUGGAGCUGGCAUAGCCACCUAUCAGCAGCCACAUGAGCUGCAGCAUGACGACAGUCUUACACUUUUAUGUAUAUAGGAAGAAAGGCACUAGCCUGAUUCACGGGCAACAAGAAACCAUGGUUGGCUGCAGUAUGAACAAACACUUCCCCGAUUUUUCACGCCCAUAAGGUGGAAACUUGAAACUUUUGAAUGUGGUUUGAAACAAGCAGCAGUUGCUCAUGACAUCCUGGGCUUGUGGGGAUUUUGCUUUGCUUAAACCAGGGGUCACUGACCUUUUUGGGCCAAUGGGCAUUUGGAAUUUUCAAAAAGUGCUGUGGGCGCCAGCCACAAACAGGCUGCUAUGAGGGUGUGGCAUAACACAAAAUGGCCACCACAUCUGAAGGAGUAGAAAAAGAGACAGGACUAUGGAGGGGGAGAGGUUGCUGAUGUUCAAAUAGGAAAUGUUGUGAUGUCCUGAAUGUGCACACCAACUUUCAUUCUGAAGUCUCAAUGUUCAAGGGAGAUAUUGUGCUACAAACAACAAGAGAAUGAAAAGCCAUCGGUUUCACUCAGCCAAACCAGAGUUCAGAAUGUGAGAAUGUCUUAAAGAUGAAGUGGCCUUCAGUAUUGGGCCAUCCAAAAUAAACACUUGUGGUAAGAGGCAAGCCUGUAUAACUUGUCAUUCACCUUUAAAUCAUGGGGGUUUGAGGGUGAAGAAAUAUUUGUUUGGGUUGCUUAAAUAAAGAAAUUCAAGAUAAUAAUUUGACCUUUGAGGCUGGUCCAUAAUUCAUUGCUUCCAAGACAGUCUAUUUUUGUUUUGUUUUUUCCCCUGUUUUGUUUUUAUUAUACUGGUGCCAUAAAUGGUUAUCUUCUCUCCACACAGUGUGACAGUAGUUUAAUUCCUGAUGCUAUGAAUCAGGGAUGGAGCUGGGUCGAUGACAGAGAGUUAGUGAUUUACAAUAGACCAGGCACUCUAUAAAAACCUAUGGCAAGGGGUUAUGAGUUAUCAAGAUGUGCUGAGCUGGCAUCCGUGGUCAGCAAUAUGCAGGGCGAUGGAAUCUCGCCUCUCAUGGCUGCCCAGCAUUCCAUUACUGCCUGUUAGCCUCUUGAGCGAGAGCCAGCGAAGGACGGGCGAUGGAGGGAGGAGUUCUCAGAAGGAUCUCACGGCUGGAGAAAUGGAGGGGGAACUUUUGAGGGAAACAAAUGGCAAAACGGUCACGCUGUCAAGACCCGCCGCAGCUCAUAAAUCUAAAAUGGGGAAAUUGUAUGUUCUGGAAUAUUAACAAAGCUGUUUGGACAACAGCAGCAGACUGAGGGGCUGAGAGAGACUCCCAAUUAUUAUUUUUCUGCAACGGCCAUAGUCCCAUGUUCCGGCAGAGGGUAAAGCUGAGUUUCUAGGAGGUUCCAGGUUUGUUCUCAAAAUAGCCUUGGAGAUGGGCCUUACCUUAUAUGCCCAGAGGCUUCUGGCAUGAUUGCCAGGAUCAUGCCUUCCUCAGCCUGCUGAAUGUCUUUGAGCAUCCGAGGCUACCCUGAAACAAACACUCAUAAG
RNAcentral lists this long non-coding RNA (2168 nucleotides) under Podarcis lilfordi (Lilford's wall lizard). The record is from RNAcentral. Lineage: Eukaryota; Metazoa; Chordata; Lepidosauria; Squamata; Lacertidae.